Molecule: ribosomal RNA, 567 nt
Filed under: Escherichia coli
Lineage: Bacteria; Pseudomonadati; Pseudomonadota; Gammaproteobacteria; Enterobacterales; Enterobacteriaceae
Description: bacterial LSU rRNA
Rfam family: Bacterial large subunit ribosomal RNA
Source: RNAcentral
CGAGCGUGACGGCGCGAGCAGGUGCGAAAGCAGGUCAUAGUGAUCCGGUGGUUCUGAAUGGAAGGGCCAUCGCUCAACGGAUAAAAGGUACUCCGGGGAUAACAGGCUGAUACCGCCCAAGAGUUCAUAUCGACGGCGGUGUUUGGCACCUCGAUGUCGGCUCAUCACAUCCUGGGGCUGAAGUAGGUCCCAAGGGUAUGGCUGUUCGCCAUUUAAAGUGGUACGCGAGCUGGGUUUAGAACGUCGUGAGACAGUUCGGUCCCUAUCUGCCGUGGGCGCUGGAGAACUGAGGGGGGCUGCUCCUAGUACGAGAGGACCGGAGUGGACGCAUCACUGGUGUUCGGGUUGUCAUGCCAAUGGCACUGCCCGGUAGCUAAAUGCGGAAGAGAUAAGUGCUGAAAGCAUCUAAGCACGAAACUUGCCCCGAGAUGAGUUCUCCCUGACCCUUUAAGGGUCCUGAAGGAACGUUGAAGACGACGACGUUGAUAGGCCGGGUGUGUAAGCGCAGCGAUGCGUUGAGCUAACCGGUACUAAUGAACCGUGAGGCUUAACCUUACAACGCCGAAG